Molecule: ribosomal RNA, 449 nt
Filed under: uncultured bacterium
Lineage: Bacteria
Description: partial 16S ribosomal RNA
Rfam family: Bacterial small subunit ribosomal RNA
Source: RNAcentral
AACGAACGCUGGCGGCAUGCCUAACACAUGCAAGUCGAACGAGAUCUUCGGGUCUAGUGGCGCACGGGUGCGUAAAGCGUGGGAAUCUGCCCUUUGGUUCGGAAUAACAGUUGGAAACGACUGCUAAUACCGGAUGAUGACGAAAGUCCAAAGAUUUAUCGCAAGAGGAUGAGCCCGCGUAGGAUUAGCUAGUUGGUGUGGUAAAGGCGCACCAAGGCGACGAUCCUUAGCUGGUCUGAGAGGAUGAUCAGCCACACCGGGACUGAGACAUGGACCAGACGCCUACGGGAGGCAGCAGUGGGGAAUAUUGGACAAUGGGCGAAAGCCUGAUCCAUCAAUGCCGCGUGAGUGAUGAAGGCCUUAGGGUUGUAAAGCUCUUUUACCCGGGAUGAUAAUGACAGUACCGGGAGAAUAAGCUCCGGCUAACUCCGUGCCAGCAGCCGCCGUAA